This 411-nucleotide ribosomal RNA is filed under the name uncultured bacterium. RNAcentral's name for it is "bacterial SSU rRNA". It matches the Rfam family "Bacterial small subunit ribosomal RNA", at positions 9 to 417 of the family's 1533-position model. The record is from RNAcentral.
GAGUUUGAUCUUGGCUCAGAUUGAACGCUGGCGGCAGGCCUAACACAUGCAAGUCGAACGGUAACAGGAAGCAGCUUGCUGCUUCGCUGACGAGUGGCGGACGGGUGAGUAAUGUCUGGGAAACUGCCUGAUGGAGGGGGAUAACUACUGGAAACGGUAGCUAAUACCGCAUAAUGUCGCAAGACCAAAGAGGGGGACCUUCGGGCCUCUUGCCAUCGGAUGUGCCCAGAUGGGAUUAGCUUGUUGGUGGGUAACGGCUCACCAAGGCGACGAUCCCUAGCUGGUCUGAGAGGAUGACCAGCCACACUGGAACUGAGACACGGUCCAGACUCCUACGGGAGGCAGCAGUGGGGAAUAUUGCACAAUGGGCGCAAGCCUGAUGCAGCCAUGCCGCGUGUAUGAAGAAGGCCC